GACCUUUCUAUAAGUUAUAUGAUAUAAUGAUAGGACCUAACGCAUCCAGAAUACUGCUAAUUUUUUUCCUAGGCAACAGAGUACUACUAAAUUCUUUUAUGCAUUUGCUCAAACUACUAUAUUUUUGGAUUUAGAAGCCAACCCAAAUCUUUUAUAGUAGUUGUAGCUGAGACACAAGAUGUGAUCACAAAAACUUAUUUUGAUAAUAUAAGGAUCCAGUUUCUCAUAUAUUCUAUGAUGUUUAAGCAGAAUAAUGUACCAGCAAACUCCAGAAAUAAAGAUAAGAGGAUUAAACAUGUGGUCAAAUAAAAGGUUCUAUAUAUAGCCAACUGAUUUAGCUAAGUGGCUGUUUGAUAUAGCAUGGUCUCAAUUUUUGGUUACCCAAAUAUUAGAUACAGUCACUACAAAAUAAUCAUAUUUGAUCAGGAGGGUCAUAAUCAAAAUAUGACCUGAUGCUUCAUGUCCUAUACCACAGGACAGAGCCAAAGCAAAUAAGAUGAGCAUCUCUUGGGAAAAAAAUAUUGAAAUGGAUGGAUGUUAAAUAAGAUGAGCACUUGCUCGGAUAGCAUCAUCUCUUGCUAUUUGGGCAAGAAGUCGGGAGUUCGAUUCUGCUUGGAGUCAACCCUCGAGGUUGUAUAGGGUAAAAAGGUGGGGAGUUAGCCUCUACUUGUCUACGGAAAAAAAAACUAAAUGGUCAUGCCAUGUAAGCAAAAAUAAAUGGAAGGCUCCAGUGAUGUAAAUGAUAAAAAUGAAUGUCUUCUCUCAGAAAUAAAAAAAAAGAAACAAAUAAAUGUAUGAGAUACCAUCUAAAGUAUGUGUGUUGGGGAUAUUGCUUCUUGAAGAUGAAAUUCUAGUCUCCAUACCCUUUUCCUAACUUCCUGGGAAGCCCUUUAAUGUUUCUCUAGCUGAUUUUCUUUUUCUUUUU
This 925-nucleotide long non-coding RNA is filed under the name Phoenix dactylifera (date palm). RNAcentral's name for it is "long non-coding RNA (PDAC_LNC017020)". Lineage: Eukaryota; Viridiplantae; Streptophyta; Magnoliopsida; Arecales; Arecaceae. The record is from RNAcentral.